GAUGAACGCUGACAGAAUGCUUAACACAUGCAAGUCAACUUGAACUUCGGUUUGGGUGGCGGACGGGUGAGUAACGCGUAAAGAACUUGCCUCACAGUUAGGGACAACAUUUGGAAACGAAUGCUAAUACCUGAUAUUAUGAUUUUAGGGCAUCCUAGAAUUAUGAAAGCUAUAUGCGCUGUGAGAGAGCUUUGCGUCCCAUUAGCUAGUUGGAGAGGUAACGGCUCACCAAGGCGAUGAUGGGUAGCCGGCCUGAGAGGGUGAACGGCCACAAGGGGACUGAGACACGGCCCUUACUCCUACGGGAGGCAGCGGUGGGGAAUAUUGGACAAUGGACCAAGAGUCUGAUCCAGCAAUUCUGUGUGCACGAUGAAGUUUUUCGGAAUGUAAAGUGCUUUCAGUUGGGAAGAAAAAAAUGACGAUACCAACAGAAGAAGAGACGGCUAAAUACGUG
This 454-nucleotide ribosomal RNA is filed under the name uncultured bacterium. RNAcentral describes it as "partial 16S ribosomal RNA". It matches the Rfam family "Bacterial small subunit ribosomal RNA", at positions 28 to 507 of the family's 1533-position model. The record is from RNAcentral.